This 679-nucleotide ribosomal RNA is filed under the name Columba palumbus. RNAcentral's name for it is "partial 12S ribosomal RNA". It matches the Rfam family "Bacterial small subunit ribosomal RNA", at positions 495 to 1439 of the family's 1533-position model. The record is from RNAcentral. Lineage: Eukaryota; Metazoa; Chordata; Aves; Columbiformes; Columbidae.
GGUAAAUCUCGUGCCAGCCACCGCGGUCACACAAGAGACCCAAACUAAUCGUUCACGGCGUAAAGAGUGGACUCAUGCUUAUCGCAUUAAUUAAGGUCAAAACGCAGCUGAGCUGUCAUAAGCUUAAGGUGCACUUAAAACCGCCCUAAAUACGACCCUAAACUCAUACGACUCAAUGAACUCCACGAAAGCCAGGGUACAAACUGGGAUUAGAUACCCCACUAUGCCUGGCCCUAAAUCUUGAUGCUCUAUAUAACCAAAGCAUCCGCCUGAGAACUACGAGCACAAACGCUUAAAACUCUAAGGACUUGGCGGUGCCCCAAACCCACCUAGAGGAGCCUGUUCUGUAAUCGAUAACCCACGAUACACCCGACCACUUCUUGCCAAAAACAGCCUACAUACCGCCGUCGCCAGCUCACCUCUUCUGAGAGUACCACAGUGAGCACAACCGCUCUAACCCCGCUAACAAGACAGGUCAAGGUAUAGCCCAUGAAGUGGAAGAAAUGGGCUACAUUUUCUAACUUAGAAAAUCUCACGAAAAGGGGUAUGAAACAACCCCUGGAAGGUGGAUUUAGCAGUAAAGCGGGACAAUAUAGCCCCCUUUAAGCCGGCUCUGGGGCACGUACAUACCGCCCGUCACCCUCCUCAUAAGCUCUAAACUACUAAUAAAUAAUACCCC